Molecule: ribosomal RNA, 887 nt
Filed under: uncultured bacterium
Lineage: Bacteria
Description: bacterial SSU rRNA
Rfam family: Bacterial small subunit ribosomal RNA
Source: RNAcentral
UCGAACGCUUUGUUUUUAUUGAUAUGAAGAGCUUGCUCUGAUUUGAUUUCAUCUGACAAAGAGUGGCGAACGGGUGAGUAACACGUGGGUAACCUACCUCUUAGCAGGGGAUAACAUUUGGAAACAAGUGCUAAUACCGUAUAACACUAACAACCGCAUGGUUGUUAGUUGAAAGAUGGUUCUGCUAUCACUAAGAGAUGGACCCGCGGUGCAUUAGCUAGUUGGUAAGGUAAUGGCUUACCAAGGCGAUGAUGCGUAGCCGAGUUGAGAGACUGAUCGGCCACAAUGGGACUGAGACACGGCCCAUACUCCUACGGGAGGCAGCAGUAGGGAAUCUUCCACAAUGGGCGCAAGCCUGAUGGAGCAACGCCGCGUGUGUGAUGAAGGGUUUCGGCUCGUAAAACACUGUUAUAAGAGAAGAACGACAUUGAGAGUAACUGUUCAGUGUGUGACGGUAUCUUAUCAGAAAGGAACGGCUAAAUACGUGCCAGCAGCCGCGGUAAUACGUAUGUUCCAAGCGUUAUCCGGAUUUAUUGGGCGUAAAGCGAGCGCAGACGGUUAUUUAAGUCUGAAGUGAAAGCCCUCAGCUCAACUGAGGAAGGGCUUUGGAAACUGGAUAACUUGAGUGCAGUAGAGGAAAGUGGAACUCCAUGUGUAGCGGUGAAAUGCGUAGAUAUAUGGAAGAACACCGGUGGCGAAAGCGGCUUUCUGGACUGUAACUGACGUUGAGGCUCGAAAGUGUGGGUAGCAAACAGGAUUAGAUACCCUGGUAGUCCACACCGUAAACGAUGAGUGCUAGAUGUUCGAGGGUUUCCGCCCUUGAGUGUCGCAGCUAACGCAUUAAGCACUCCGCCUGGGGAGUACGACCGCAAGGUUGAAACUCAAAG